Bubalus bubalis (water buffalo) is the source of this 1047-nucleotide non-coding RNA. The record is from the annotation of a RefSeq genome assembly. Lineage: Eukaryota; Metazoa; Chordata; Mammalia; Artiodactyla; Bovidae.
UGGACUGACUGCAGCCUACCAGGCUCCUCAAACUGAUAAUGGAAGGAAAGUGAGUAAAAACUUAAACUUUAGGAUUAUGUUUUCCUAGACCCAGUAGAGAAAGAGUGAUAAAAUCUGGAAAAAUAACACAGGGACGUAAAAAUUCUCAGAGAAAAUCUGUCUCCUAAGCUAAGAGUGUCAGGCUAGAUGACUCAUUUUAUUAUUUCUCUAGAUGCUUUAUAUAAUCAUCACAAAUAUUUCUUUUGUAUAGUUCAAAAUUUGGCUUGUUCGUAUAAGGUGGCUGCUGUAUUCAUUUGUAAGUGCAGUGGAAGCUAAGACUGACGUACAGCAAAUUGUGUGUUUCAUUGUCUGAGAGGGAAGGGAGGAGGGGAGGAGGCAAACCGACAAGAUGAAAAGCAAGUAAGUUAUUGACGUGCAACUGAUUUUCAUUUUUGAAGAAAUGAUGAAAGAGCAGAAUCAGGAAAAAGACAAUUGAAGCCAUCUGAAAUCCACACCAGUUGUUUCACCAGCUUCCCCUGCCCUCCCAGUCUAUGAAAAGCCAGCAUCUCAAGUACACGGGGACUGUGAUGACCACAGGAAGCAACCACGUGACAAGGAGGUGCUGAAGGGGGAUGAGGCCCUGAGAGGAAAAGCCACUGCGCUGCUUUCUCCCUGAGCCAGCCAUGUGCCUUGGCCUCCUGUGCUGUAUGGCUCUUUUAUUCUGGGGAGCAGGCUCCAUGGACACUGAGGUCACCCAGAGUCCCAGUCAUCUGGUCAAAGGAAAAGACCAGAAAGCAAAGAUGGAUUGUGUCCCCAAAAAAGGACACACUUAUGUUUACUGGUAUCGUAAGAAGCUGGACAAAGCAUUCGAGUUUUUGGUUUACUUACAGGAUGAAGAAAUUAUAGAAGAUACAGCCAUGUUCAAACAGAGAUUUUCAGCUGAGUGCCACCAAAACUCACCCUGCAGCCUGGAAAUCAACUCCACCGAGGCAGCGGACUCGGCUCUGUAUUUCUGUGCCAGCAGCCAGUCCACAGUGCUGCACAUCAGCUCUUCUUAGAGCACAAACU